RNAcentral lists this ribosomal RNA (837 nucleotides) under uncultured bacterium. RNAcentral's name for it is "bacterial SSU rRNA". It matches the Rfam family "Bacterial small subunit ribosomal RNA", at positions 26 to 898 of the family's 1533-position model. The record is from RNAcentral.
AGAAUCAACGCUGGCGGCGCGCUUAACACAUGCAAGUCGCGCGUGAAAGGGAGCAAUCCUGAGUAAAGCGGCGCACGGGUGAGUAACACGUGGAUGAUCUACCCUAUGGUGGGGAAUAACCUUGGGAAACCGAGGCUAAUACCGCAUAAGUUCGAGAGAAGAAAGCCGCAAGGCGCCAUUGGAGGAGUCCGCGGCCGAUUAGCUAGUUGGUGGGGUAAAAGCUCACCAAGGCGACGAUCGGUAGCCGGCCUGAGAGGGCACACGGCCACGCUGGCACUGAAACACGGGCCAGACUCCUACGGGAGGCAGCAGUGGGGAAUCCUGCACAAUGGGGGAAACCCUGAUGCAGCGACGCCGCGUGAGUGAUGAAGCCCUUCGGGGUGUAAAGCUCUUUCGGCAGGGACGAUAAUGACGGUACCUGCAGAAGAAGCUGCGGCUAACUACGUGCCAGCAGCCGCGGUAAUACGUAGGCAGCAAGCGUUGUUCGGAAUUACUGGGCGUAAAGAGUGCGUAGGCGGUUUGGCAAGUUUGGUGUGAAAUCUCCCGGCUUAACUGGGAGGGUGCGCCGAAAACUGCCAGGCUAGAGUGUGGGAGAGGAAAGUGGAAUUCCUGGUGUAGCGGUGAAAUGCGUAGAUAUCAGGAGGAACACCUGCGGUGUAGACGGCUUUCUGGACCACUACUGACGCUGAGGCACGAAAGCGUGGGGAGCAAACAGGAUUAGAUACCCUGGUAGUCCACGCCCUAAACGAUGCAGACUUGGUGUUGGCCCUUCAUUGGGUCAGUGCCGCAGCUAACGCGGUAAGUCUGCCGCCUGGGGAGUACGGUCGCAAGGCUGAA